AGGAAAAGAAAAAAAGACUCGUGCAUUUUCGCACUUUAUUCCUCCACCUGCCCAACCCAGGAGAAGAAUUAAAAAAAGAGAAAACUUACCCCCCUCGAUCUCCCUUUUUCUGGGGAUGAGAAGAACCCCCUCGAUAUCCCUUUCAAGCCAUCAAUAUUCCCUUGAACUUGAUCGUUACAAGUAAUUCUUCAAUAGUUUUAUAUUUCUUUUUUUUUUCCUCUGAAAUUUUCGUUUUUCUGAGUUGAUUUUGCCCUUUUUUUAGGAUUGGGUUUGACAUGUUAGGGAUUGGUCUUUAUUGCUUCAAUUAUUUUUAAAUUUUGAACUUAUUAAUUCUAUGAUGAUUAGGGAUCGUGAAAGCUUGAAUCUUUUGGUUUCUCUUAAAUUCAGUUAAUACGUCGAAGAGGAGAAGAGUGAAAAAAAGUAUUUUCGAUUAGAUUGGUUAUGUAUAUUAAUAAUGAAGCUGUGACCCAAAUUGAAAGUUUUGGUGUUCUAAAUUUUGUUUAAAUUUGAUCUUUGGGAACUGUUUGAGCAACUUUGGGGGAAAGUUUUAGAAAAAAAUAUUUUUUAGCUUGCAAAGAGAAACUGUUUAUUCAUAGUUGUAGUGUUUUGAAGAUUUGUAAGUUUUGUGAUAGACAAGGAACACUUGUCUGAGUAACACCUGCAAAUUACUUCUGAAAUAAAGAAUUGCCGGAACUUGAAAAAAUGUGAACAAACAUUGAUCCAAAUUCCAAAGUGAUAUCCCUUGUUUAUUGUUACUACAAAAAACACUUUUACCGGCAAUUAUAUAGUGGCCAUAACGGUAUUGCCGCUAAAUCAUUUGAUAAUUGCAAGCAUUACCGGCCAUUAAUCAUCAGUAGCUUGAAUAAAAUGGACCUGAAUAGAAGUGUUAAUGGAUAUAGAGGACUCAUACAACCGAUUCUAACUUACUUGAGAUUGAGGGUUCGCAUUUCUCCGUCUUUUUGUUUUGCUUGAUAUUUUAUUUUACUCGACAGGAAGGUAGUGUAGGAGGUUGUAGCUCAAGUUGACAAGCUCAGACCUAGAAGGCAAAGGUAGUUCCAACGAGGGGAAUCGAAGUUGUGACCUUUCAGUUAACAUGCCAGUUGCACUACCAAUUAUGCCGGGGUUGCCCCCUCUUCCUCUACAUUUUUGCUACUCUAGUUUUAGUUUAAAUUUUUUCUGGGGGGUGGGAAGUGAGGUGAUUGGUGAUUCACUCUUUUGCACUGCUCUGUUUCUAAUUUGUACUAAUAUACAUUGGGUUUUUGACAUCGGCUAAUGAUAUCUCUAGGGGAGCUUUGUUGGAAGAGAUUGAGACAUUGGUCCAUAGACACCCAAGCAAGCUCUCUGUAGAUUCUCCCCUAUCCACUAUAUUUUCUAACUUUUUUCUUGGAAAACUAAAAUGCAUCACCUCUAAACAUCACAUCUUCAUUCUUGUUUAUGCAGAUCGAGACAUUUACUAGUCAAAACAGAGGGUAUCGUGCAUAGACGACUGUAGUUACUUAUUGCCAGAAUAGUAAAGACUACGUUGACAAGUCAAAGCUCAGAAUCCUUAUUAGUUUUGGGCAGCACGGGAGGGAGCUCAUAACUACAUAGCUUGCAUUGCGGAUUCUUUCCAUUUUAAGUGAAGAGGAAUUCUUAUCCAGUACAUACCCACUUAAUUUGAAUAACACGCUUGAUAAGCUUGUCAUAAAGAUUGAUGGGUGUAAGAGGAAUCUAGGUGAAACUUGGUAAAGAAAUACAUGGUCAGAUUCUGAAGAAAGAUAUAUCAUAUGCACAUUUUGUUUCUUAAGAACUUGUGAAGAUGUAUGGAAAUUGUGGUGCACUUAAGCCACGUCUCCUCAUUCUCCUCAUAGUACUGAUCACCAAGUUGAUGCUUAUUUAGUUAUUUCCAAGGUAUUUAUAACUGUCUCCCUUUUUAGUUGCCAAUGAUUUACAACCUAUUUGAAUCCUUUUUCAGCCUACAAGGAAGCUGCACUAGGAAAUAUACCAACUGCUGCUUAUUAUGAAACUGACAUCAAACCUUGAGAUAUUAUCUUUUUCAUUUCUCCCCAUUGUUUGCCCUCAAAUCUUAAGAGGCUUCUGCAUCUUCCUGGUUUCCUCCUAAACCGAACUAACAUCACUGAUCAUGAAUUAUGUCUGAAGAACUCGUCUUGGGAGUAAGUGCUGAGCAAGUAUAAGCAAUUGAAAUGUUAAAAGAACAAGUUGAAGAAUUAGAGAAAGCUACUGUUGUAUUAGUAUUUGUUUAGAAAUGUUCCCAUUUGUACAUGCCACAAUUCUAUCUCUUUAUUAGGCAUUUAUUGGAAGAUUGUUAUGCUUCUAUAUUUGUAAUUGACCAUAAAAUUUUAUGAUUAUUAAUUGUUUUAUAUA
This is a non-coding RNA of Nicotiana tabacum (common tobacco), 2364 nucleotides long. NCBI's taxonomy places the organism in Eukaryota, Viridiplantae, Streptophyta, Magnoliopsida, Solanales, Solanaceae. The record is from RefSeq and is a predicted model, not a curated record.